This 363-nucleotide unclassified non-coding RNA is filed under the name uncultured fungus. RNAcentral describes it as "sequence contains ITS1". The stretch from base 1 to 100 matches the Rfam family "5.8S ribosomal RNA", at positions 50 to 154 of the family's 154-position model. The record is from RNAcentral. Lineage: Eukaryota; Fungi.
GAAAUGCGAUACGUCAUGCGAAUUGCAAAAACCAGUGAGUCAUCAAAAUUUUGAACGCACCUUGCACUUCCCUCUGGGGAGUAUGUCUGUUGGAGUGUCUGUUCAUCCCCACAAUUUCUAGUAUUCUUUUAUCGGAAUAGUUGCAAUUGAGUCGGUCUUGAAACAUCUCGUAUGUUUGAUGCACCUAGAUGAAAUAACACUAGUCGUAAUCAACUUCUUUUCUGAAGAAUUCGAUUCGACGCGACGUCCUAGUUCUUCGGAACUUUGAUCGCGUUAGUAUAGAAUUUUUCGUGAAGGAAUUGAAGCGUGAAUACGACCAUCCGAUCGGACCUCCAAUCAGGCAAGAAUACCCGCUGAAUUUAA